This 429-nucleotide ribosomal RNA is filed under the name Chloroflexota bacterium. RNAcentral describes it as "Chloroflexi bacterium partial 16S ribosomal RNA". It matches the Rfam family "Bacterial small subunit ribosomal RNA", at positions 355 to 776 of the family's 1533-position model. Lineage: Bacteria; Bacillati; Chloroflexota. The record is from RNAcentral.
UGGGGAAUAUUGCACAAUGGGCGCAAGCCUGAUGCAGCCAUGCCGCGUGUAUGAAGAAGGCCUUCGGGUUGUAAAGUACUUUCAGCGGGGAGGAAGGGAGUAAAGUUAAUACCUUUACUCAUUGACGUUACCCGCAGAAGAAGCACCGGCUAACUCCGUGCCAGCAGCCGCGGUAAUACGGAGGGUGCAAGCGUUAAUCGGAAUUACUGGGCGUAAAGCGCACGCAGGCGGUCUGUCAAGUCGGAUGUGAAAUCCCCGGGCUUAACCUGGGAACUGCAGUGGAAACUGGCAGGCUAGAGUCUUGUAGGGGGGGGUAGAAUUCCAGGUGUAGCGGUGAAAUGCGUAGAGAUCUGGAGGAAGACCGGUGGCGAAGGCGGCCCCCUGGACAAAGACUGACGCUCAGGUGCGAAAGCGUGGGGAGCAAACGGG